RNAcentral lists this long non-coding RNA (544 nucleotides) under Carica papaya (papaya). RNAcentral describes it as "long non-coding RNA (CPAP_LNC010685)". Lineage: Eukaryota; Viridiplantae; Streptophyta; Magnoliopsida; Brassicales; Caricaceae. The record is from RNAcentral.
GAAGAAAAAAAUGAAGGUUAAACAGUAAAAAAAAUUUUGUGAUUAAGUGAAUAGAUGAAACAGCAGCCUUAUUGGAUAUCUUGGGAGAUGGUGGAUGGACCGGGUACAUCGGGAACCCUAUCGUGAACGUUGUCUCAUAUCGAAUAGGGUAUGGAGACUUGAUAAUUUGACGCUCAUAGCAGACGGGGUAUGGGGACGACCCGCUUCACCCUCAUACCGGAUGUGGUAUUGAGAUUUGGUAAUUUGCGCUCAUACUGAACGGGGUAUGGGGACGAUCCGCAAUUGAGAAUGUUAAAAGAAAUGGUUCACAUGUAGCGGGAACAUUCCCAUGAACCCCCAUAGAUACCAGCAGGCUGGUAAAAAAAAAGAGUGACAGUUAUUGUUUGAUUUAUUGAUGAUGGAUAUAGAUUUGUAAUAUGUGUUAUGUUGUUGAUUAUACAUGUAAUCAUGAUCUGCAUAAUAUUAUUGUCUGUAUAGGUUGUUUUUAUAAAUUUCAAUACGGUAAGUGGACGAUAAACAGUUUUAUGAUCGGUAAAUGAAUUUG